RNAcentral lists this non-coding RNA (45 nucleotides) under Trichobilharzia regenti. Lineage: Eukaryota; Metazoa; Platyhelminthes; Trematoda; Strigeidida; Schistosomatidae. The record is from RNAcentral.
ACCCACCUGACGAGUCCCAAACAGGACGAAAUGCGCGUCCCGGAU